UACGAAGGGGGCUAGCGUUGCUCGGAAUCACUGGGCGUAAAGCGCACGUAGGCGGCUUGUUAAGUCAGGGGUGAAAUCCUGGAGCUCAACUCCAGAACUGCCUUUGAUACUGGCGAGCUUGAGUCCGGGAGAGGUGAGUGGAACUGCGAGUGUAGAGGUGAAAUUCGUAGAUAUUCGCAAGAACACCAGUGGCGAAGGCGGCUCACUGGCCCGGUACUGACGCUGAGGUGCGAAAGCGUGGGGGAGCAAACAGG
Molecule: ribosomal RNA, 254 nt
Filed under: uncultured bacterium
Lineage: Bacteria
Description: partial 16S ribosomal RNA
Rfam family: Bacterial small subunit ribosomal RNA
Source: RNAcentral